GGUUUCUGAACAUGGUCUCUUUCUUGUGGGCUUCUACAGAGCUGCAAGCGUUUGCUCACCACGGCCGCUCCCUGCCAAGAUUCCAGGUGACUCUAUGCUUUGGAGAGGAGUUUCCAGACCCUCAGAGGCAAAGAAAGCUCAUCACAGCUCAUGUGAGUCCUCAGUUACACUCCUACCAUAGUGGCUUCCUGUUCUUUGUAAAGGCCAGAGUUUCAUUUAGAAAAGUCCCAAAUGAAAAGUAAAUGUCAAAUGACCUGGAAAAAUAAGCGUAACCCUUAAACUAGUGAGGGAGGAAGCAUGGUCCAACGAGUAGCACAGUCUGAGGACCCACGUGCUCCUCCCAGACUUGAGAUCUGCUCAUCAAAGAACCAGGGAGGACAGCCUCAAAGAAGGGUGCCUCUUUCCCCAUCUUUUUUAUUUUUCAGGAAAGUUGUCGUAUUUCCAUUUUAUAGGGAUUGAAAAAGAUUGAUGGUAAAAGCUGCCCUUUAAAAUUCUCCAGGUUAAGAUU
RNAcentral lists this long non-coding RNA (508 nucleotides) under Pan troglodytes (chimpanzee). RNAcentral describes it as "long non-coding RNA NONPTRT014414". Lineage: Eukaryota; Metazoa; Chordata; Mammalia; Primates; Hominidae. The record is from RNAcentral.